CUCGAGGGCCAAAAGAAAAUGCGCCGGCCGAAGCGCCAAACCACAAUCGCCGGGUGCGCCUGGGGGUUCCUUGCGGCGGCAGCGGCGGGCGUGCUCCUCGCGGCGGCAGCGGCAGCGGCGGGCGUGUCCCUUGCGGCGGUGGUGGCAGCGCGGCUGCGUGGGGGAGGGGAAGCAGCAGGGGCCGCGUGGUCGAAGGGAAGCAGCUGCGGUAGCAGAGGGUCGCAAGGUCUGCUGCCGCAACAGACGCCUAGGGUUCCUCCUUCCCCAACCCCAACCAGCUCUGCAGCAACCCAGCUCGCCAACGAGAUCUCGCUCUCACUGUCAACACCAGCAAAGGCUUCAACCCGGAAAAUAACUGGGCUGAAGAUACACGACUACCAUAUUCUUCUUCAGAGAAUACUCCCGAUUGGAAUGCGAGGGUUUCUGCACAAAGAUAUCUGGUGAUGCACUUCUGCAACUGGGUAGAUUUUUUCGCCAAUUAUGCUCUAAGACAUUGAAGCUGGAUAUCUUGGAUAAGUUGGAACAACAAAUAGUAAUUGUGUCGUGCAAACUAGAAAUGAUUCUCCCAACUGCAUUCUUUGAUAUCAGUGUGCACUUAGCAGUACAUCUACCACAACAAGCAAGGCUUGGAGGUCCUGUACAAUACAGAUGGAUGUUCUUCAUUGAAAGAAAUGGUCCACAAUUGGGAAGGCUAACCGCUCAAACCAACCUUAUGUUCACAAGAAGGGAACAAAGUCAUUUGUAGCUGUUCAACAUGAAUUAAAUUGUGGCGAUAUCAGACUAUACAAGGAGUGUUACUCUAGGGAUAAGAAGGGAUGGGCAUCAGAAGAUGCCAGGAAUAAACAUGAAGAAAUGUUGCAGAAGCAAAAAGAACCUAUAGAGGAGGGCGAACACCUUUAACAGAGCAACAGAUUGGUGAGCAGGUGCUUAGUAAGGCAUAUGGUUACAUCAGAGGUCUGGGUCAUGGACCAAAACCAAAUAGAAGGGCCAAGCAAGCGCAUCAAGCUCAACUCAGCAUGUAGUGGAAGAAUUGGCCUCUACAAAGGAGAUUGUUGCUACGCAACAAACUCAAAUUGGCUCAACAAAAGAAGAUCGAUUGGCUACAGAGUGUCGUGUCUAACUUGGUUGGCAUUUCACCUCCUAUGGACGGCACUAGUGUGAUAGGGCUUCGUUUCACAACUGAUGGAUCUGUUUUGAAGUCAGGCUACAGAUCUGUUUCUUCUGAUGGUAUGAUCAGUAUAACUCUCAUAGUCAGUACAACUCUUUUGUCUCAACUCUUUGCAAUACGGUUUAGAGUAGUGAUGCCCUGAAUCAAGCGCAACAUCCAUGCAGUACUCCAUGCAUUGAUCUGCUUCUAGUACUCCAUGCAUUGAAUCAAGUGAUGCCCUAAAUCAAGCGCAAUAUCCAUGCAGUACUCCAUGCAUUGAAUCAAGUGAUGCCCUGAAUCAAACGCAAUAUCCAUGCAGUACUCCAUGCAUUGUAGGUUGCACUGUCUGCUGCACGUUCAGUAGAAACAAUCAAGUGCAGUACUCGCAUGUCCAACUGCCUUUUUUAUGUAAUAGAAUCUUCUCAUAAAUGUAAGUACAUCAGUUUGUUGAGUGCAUGCUUUAUAAGGCACUUCAUUGCCACAAGGCGAAGCAUCUCCCUGCUCAAGCCGUCGUCAAGCGCAACCACCACCCUCCCUAAACACCAAGCUGCCCAGUCCGCCGAUCGGCUGUUCGUCGGACAUGACCAGCCGCAAAACUGGCCCGGGCGCUGGAGCGACGGCGAGAUGUCGGCCCUCGUUGAGGCAUGGGGGCAGAUUUAUCUCCGCCGCAACCGCAGCUCCCUCCGCAUGGACGA
This is a long non-coding RNA of Aegilops tauschii subsp. strangulata, 1842 nucleotides long. RefSeq lists it as uncharacterized. NCBI's taxonomy places the organism in Eukaryota, Viridiplantae, Streptophyta, Magnoliopsida, Poales, Poaceae. The record is from RefSeq and is a predicted model, not a curated record.